UACGUAGGGGGCAAGCGUUGUCCGGAUUUAUUGGGCGUAAAGAGCGUGUAGGCGGCCAUACAGGUCAGCUGUGAAAACUCGAGGCUCAACCUCGAGACGUCGGUUGAAACCGUAUGGCUAGAGUCCGGAAGAGGAGAGUGGAAUUCCCGGUGUAGCGGUGAAAUGCGCAGAUAUCGGGAAGAACACCCGUGGCGAAGGCGGCUCUCUGGGACGGUACUGACGCUGAGGCACGAAAGCGUGGGGAGCAAACAGG
RNAcentral lists this ribosomal RNA (253 nucleotides) under uncultured bacterium. Its description in RNAcentral is "partial 16S ribosomal RNA". It matches the Rfam family "Bacterial small subunit ribosomal RNA", at positions 524 to 776 of the family's 1533-position model. The record is from RNAcentral.